AUUGAACGCUAGCGGGAUGCUUUACACAUGCAAGUCGAGCGGAGUGGCGGACGGGUGAGUAAUAUAUCGGAACGUGCCCAGUAGCGGGGGAUAACUACUCGAAAGAGUGGCUAAUACCGCAUACUAUUAGAGCGGCCGAUAUCGUAUUAGCUAGUUGGUGGGGUAAAGGCUCACCACGGCAACGAUCCGUAGCUGGUCUGAGAGGAUGACCAGCAACACUGGGACGGAGACACGGCCCAGACUCCUACGGGAGGCAGCAGUGGGGAAUUUUGGACAAUGGGCGAAACCCUGAUGCAGCCAUCCCGCGUGUAUGAUGAAGGCCUUCGGGUUGUAAAGUACUUUUGGCGGAGAAGCGGUAUCUGCAGAAUAAGCACCGGCUAACUACGUGCCAGCAGCCGCGGUAAUAC
Molecule: ribosomal RNA, 407 nt
Filed under: uncultured bacterium
Lineage: Bacteria
Description: partial 16S ribosomal RNA
Rfam family: Bacterial small subunit ribosomal RNA
Source: RNAcentral